AGAAACUGUAUCAUCUUGGGCUUUGUUGGACUCAAUCCAAAGAAUUUUAGUGGAAAUGAAGAAAGAAGAUUCACAGAGAACUAUGUGACUUCCCUAGGGAGGAGCUGGGAUCAGGAUGCAGCUCUGUUUAAGAAAUACUUACUGAAGCUCUGGACCCAUAAAAAUGAAGUGGAUUUUGAGAUUUUAUUGAUGUAAUGGAAGAGCAAGUAUUGCCCAUUGUUACUAUACCCAAAACAUUUCAGAAGUACAAGCAGAGAAAUAUGUUUCUAUCAUCAGAGUUUAAUAUGAAAUCAUGUUCUUCUUCUGUCAUACUGAAAAUUUGUCAUAGAUUUUAUCUGCAAUAAAAGCUAUGUCAAUGGUGCCACGUAAUACAUUUGUAAAGGUUAGAGAUAUUUUAACCCUCAUCUGUGACCAGAAUAAUAAUAGUAAGUAACCCAAUGAAACACCAAUGGCAGAUUGUUAAGAGUGUAAAAAUUGUCUGCACAUAUUAAUGCAAAACAGCAUAGGAAUCCACACAUUGUAAUGCACCGGGUGUCAUUUC
Molecule: long non-coding RNA, 541 nt
Organism: Leptonychotes weddellii (Weddell seal)
Lineage: Eukaryota; Metazoa; Chordata; Mammalia; Carnivora; Phocidae
Source: RefSeq, a predicted model, not a curated record